UACGGGGGGAGCAAGCGUUGUUCGGAUUUACUGGGCGUAAAGGGCGCGUAGGCGGUCAGCACAAGUCAGUUGUGAAAUCUCCGGGCUUAACUCGGAAAGGUCAACUGAUACUGUGCGACUAGAGUGCGGAAGGGGCAACUGGAAUUCUCGGUGUGGCGGUGAAAUGCGUAGAUAUCGAGAGGAACACCUGCGGCGAAGGCGGGUUGCUGGGCCGACACUGACGCUGAUGCGCGAAAGCCAGGGGAGCGAACGGG
This 254-nucleotide ribosomal RNA is filed under the name uncultured bacterium. RNAcentral describes it as "partial 16S ribosomal RNA". It matches the Rfam family "Bacterial small subunit ribosomal RNA", at positions 524 to 776 of the family's 1533-position model. The record is from RNAcentral.